CAUGCAAGUCGAGCGGAAACGAGUUAUCUGAACCUUCGGGGAACGAUAACGGCGUCGAGCGGCGGACGGGUGAGUAAUGCCUAGGAAAUUGCCCUGAUGUGGGGGAUAACCAUUGGAAACGAUGGCUAAUACCGCAUGAUGCCUACGGGCCAAAGAGGGGGUCCUUCGGGCCUCUGGCGUCAGGAUAUGCCUAGGUGGGAUUAGCUAGUUGGUGAGGUAAGGGCUCACCAAGGCGACGAUCCCUAGCUGGUCUGAGAGGAUGAUCAGCCACACUGGAACUGAGACACGGUCCAGACUCCUACGGGAGGCAGCAGUGGGGAAUAUUGCACAAUGGGCGCAAGCCUGAUGCAGCCAUGCCGCGUGUGUGAAGAAGGCCUUCGGGUUGUAAAGCACUUUCAGUCGUGAGGAAGGUAGUGUAGUUAAUAGCUGCAUUAUUUGACGUUAGCGACAGAAGAAGCACCGGCUAACUCCGUGCCAGCAGCCGCGGUAAUACGGAGGGUGCGAGCGUUAAUCGGAAUUACUGCGCGUAAAGCGCAUGCAGGUGGUUUGUUAAGUCAGAUGUGAAAGCCCGGGGCUCAACCUCGGAAUAGCAUUUGAAACUGGCAGACUAGAGUACUGUAGAGGGGGGUAGAAUUUCAGGUGUAGCGGUGAAAUGCGUAGAGAUCUGAAGGAAUACCGGUGGCGAAGGCGGCCCCCUGGACAGAUACUGACACUCAGAUGCGAAAGCGUGGGGAGCAAACAGGAUUAGAUACCCUGGUAGUCCACGCCGUAAACGAUGUCUACUUGGAGGUUGUGGCCUUGAGCCGUGGCUUUCGGAGCUAACGCGUUAAGUAGACCGCCUGGGGAGUACGGUCGCAAGAUUAAAACUCAAAUGAAUUGACGGGGGCCCGCACAAGCGGUGGAGCAUGUGGUUUAAUUCGAUGCAACGCGAAGAACCUUACCUACUCUUGACAUCCAGAGAACUUUCCAGAGAUGGAUUGGUGCCUUCGGGAACUCUGAGACAGGUGCUGCAUGGCUGUCGUCAGCUCGUGUUGUGAAAUGUUGGGUUAAGUCCCGCAACGAGCGCAACCCUUAUCCUUGUUUGCCAGCGAGUAAUGUCGGGAACUCCAGGGAGACUGCCGGUGAUAAACCGGAGGAAGGUGGGGACGACGUCAAGUCAUCAUGGCCCUUACGAGUAGCGCUACACACGUGCUACAAUGGCGCAUACAGAGGGCAGCCAACUUGCGAAAGUGAGCGAAUCCCAAAAAGUGCGUCGUAGUCCGGAUUGGAGUCUGCAACUCGACUCCAUGAAGUCGGAAUCGCUAGUAAUCGUGGAUCAGAAUGCCACGGUGAAUACGUUCCCGGGCCUUGUACACACCGCCCGUCACACCAUGGGAGUGGGCUGCAAAAGAAGUAGGUAGUUUAACC
This 1407-nucleotide ribosomal RNA is filed under the name Vibrio campbellii. RNAcentral's name for it is "bacterial SSU rRNA". It matches the Rfam family "Bacterial small subunit ribosomal RNA". RNAcentral also lists the same sequence under 1 other name. The record is from RNAcentral. Lineage: Bacteria; Pseudomonadati; Pseudomonadota; Gammaproteobacteria; Vibrionales; Vibrionaceae.